UGAUAUGUUUUUUAUUUUUUGAAAAAAAAAUACGUUUAAACAUGAACCUUGAAAUAAAAUAAACGUUCCGUUACUUAUGGCUUGUGUUUAUAACUUUGCUAGCUGACCAUCCACAUCCCCAAACCUCACAUCACACAAACCCCUCUAUACACUCAGGAAAAAGACACGGUCAACUAUAGAAAGCAAUUUCAUAGGUCUCCAUAAUUUCUCUAACCACGUAAUCAAUCUCACGUAUAACUUAUUAAAUGUCUUGGCUAUACAUAUAUUUACUACGUUACUGAAAUGCAUCAUGAUAGGCGACAACUGUAUGCAGCAAAUUAUAUACAGUCUAAACUUUAAAAUCUUUUUAUUUUUAAUAUAUGCUCAAAUACAUCAUUGCAUGUAACUGGAUACAAACAUAUUACACCACAUCUUACUCAUCCUGCCAAAAUUGCCACCUCUAGUUCCGACAAUUGCAAUUUGUUAAGUGUGUGUCACAGAUUAGGUUCCAACUUAGAUUGUAUACCUUUCAUUAAAUUCGUUUUCUUAAGUUUAACUAAAUUAUCUUGUCAAAUAGUGCAUUAAUGCCAUGUAUACUUAGAAUAAACGUAAAGGAUAACUAAGAUCAAAUCAAAAUCAGACCUUGAUAAAUGAUGAUUGAAAGUCUUCGUA
This 651-nucleotide long non-coding RNA is filed under the name Helianthus annuus (common sunflower). RNAcentral describes it as "sRNA HanXRQr2_Chr07g0315971". The record is from RNAcentral. Lineage: Eukaryota; Viridiplantae; Streptophyta; Magnoliopsida; Asterales; Asteraceae.